This 216-nucleotide ribosomal RNA is filed under the name Glomeromycotina sp. Its description in RNAcentral is "partial small subunit ribosomal RNA". The stretch from base 40 to 216 matches the Rfam family "Eukaryotic small subunit ribosomal RNA", at positions 686 to 864 of the family's 1831-position model. Lineage: Eukaryota; Fungi; Glomeromycota. The record is from RNAcentral.
GGGUCAGUAGGUUGGUCGUGCCACCGGUACGUACUGGUCUCACUGAUUCCUCCUUCCUGAAGAACCGUAAUGCCAUUAAUUUGGUGUUGCGGGGAAACAGGACUGUUACUUUGAAUAAAUUAGAGUGUUUAAAGCAAGCUAACGCUUGAAUACAUUAGCAUGGAAUAAUGGAAUAGGACGAUCGAUCCUAUUUUGUUGGUUUCUAGGAUUGACGUA